RNAcentral lists this ribosomal RNA (436 nucleotides) under uncultured Bacillota bacterium. RNAcentral's name for it is "bacterial SSU rRNA". It matches the Rfam family "Bacterial small subunit ribosomal RNA", at positions 917 to 1359 of the family's 1533-position model. Lineage: Bacteria; Bacillati; Bacillota. The record is from RNAcentral.
GGGCCCGCACAAGCAGUGGAGUAUGUGGUUUAAUUCGAAGCAACGCGAAGAACCUUACCAGGUCUUGACAUCGUGCGCAUAACAUAGAGAUAUGUGAAGUCCUUCGGGACGCACAGACAGGUGGUGCAUGGUUGUCGUCAGCUCGUGUCGUGAGAUGUUGGGUUAAGUCCCGCAACGAGCGCAACCCUUAUUGCUAGUUGCUACGCAAGAGCACUCUAGCGAGACUGCCGUUGACAAAACGGAGGAAGGUGGGGAUGACGUCAAAUCAUCAUGCCCCUUAUGACCUGGGCUACACACGUACUACAAUGGGCCGUUAACAACGGGAAGCAAUACAGCGAUGUGGAGCAAAUCCCCAAAAACGGUCUCAGUUCAGAUUGCAGGCUGCAACUCGCCUGCAUGAAGGCGGAAUUGCUAGUAAUCGCGGAUCAGCAUGCCG